Molecule: ribosomal RNA, 468 nt
Filed under: uncultured bacterium
Lineage: Bacteria
Description: partial 16S ribosomal RNA
Rfam family: Bacterial small subunit ribosomal RNA
Source: RNAcentral
GACGAACGCUGGCGGCGUGCUUAACACAUGCCAGUCGAACGGAAAGGCCCUGCUUUUGUGGGGUGCUCGAGUGGCGAACGGGUGAGUAACACGUGAGUAACCUGCCCUUGACUUUGGGAUAACUUCAGGAAACUGGGGCUAAUACCGGAUAGGAGCUCCUGCUGCAUGGUGGGGGUUGGAAAGUUUCGGCGGUUGGGGAUGGACUCGCGGCUUAUCAGCUUGUUGGUGGGGUAGUGGCUUACCAAGGCUUUGACGGGUAGCCGGCCUGGGAGGGUGACCGGCCACAUUGGGACUGAGCUACGGCCCAGACUCCUACGGGAGGCAGCAGUGGGGAAUAUUGCACAAUGGGCGGAAGCCUGAUGCAGCAACGCCGCGUGCGGGAUGACGGCAUUCGGGUUGUAAACCGCUUUCGCCUGUGACGAAGCGUGAGUGACGGUAAUGGGUAAAGAAGCACCGGCUAACUACGUG